Molecule: long non-coding RNA, 2799 nt
Filed under: Salmo salar (Atlantic salmon)
Lineage: Eukaryota; Metazoa; Chordata; Actinopteri; Salmoniformes; Salmonidae
Description: lncRNA (ENSSSAG00000114499.1)
Source: RNAcentral
ACAUAGCAGGAUCCACAGGGGUACCAGAAUGAUAGCGAUGCCACAAGGGAUGAUAAUGGCCAGAGCCCAGCCAGGAAAACCUCCACUUGUGGUAUUGAAAGGAGUGGUCAGCAAAAGAGUAGGAGGUGGUGUGGUAGCUUCUACAGUUGUCGUUGUGGGUGCUGCUGUUGUGGUGGUUGUAGCAGCUAUAUUUGUGGUUGUUGUAGCAGCUUUCGUUGUGGUUGUCGAAGGAGAUGGAGUUGUGGUUGUUGAAGGACCUGCCAUUGUAGUGGUUGUAGGAGCUACAGCUGUUUUAAUUAAUGCAGCAUUAUCAUCUGCAGUUGUAGGAGCUGCAGAUGCAGUUGUAAGAGUUGCAGCUGUAGGAGCUGCAGUUGCACUUGUAGGAGCUGCAGUUAUCAUAGUAGCUGCAAUUGUGGUUGUUCUAAGAGCUGUAGUUGUUGUCGUAGUAGAUGCUGCAGUUGUAGGGGUGGUAGGACCAAUGGUUGUUUUAGUAAGAGCUGAAUUGAUUGUCAUAGCAGCUUUUGUGGUGCUGGUUGAAGGAGCUACAGUUAUUGGAGUAAGAGCUUUAGUUGUUGUUGUAGGUAUGGUAGAUGUAGUGGUUGUAGCCGCAACAGUUGCUGUAGGAGCAACAGAUUUCAUUGUAGGUGCGGCUGAUGUAGGGGUCAUAAGAGCUAAAAAUGUUAUAGUAGGAGGUGCAGUUAUGGUUGUAGCUUUAGCUGCAGUUGUGGUUGUUGUAAGAGCUGCAGUUGUAGUUAUUGUAGCAGGUGCUGCAGUGGUUGUCGAAGUAGGUGCUGAAGUUGUAUUGAUCAUAGGAGCUACAGUUCUUGUUAUGGGUGCUGCUGUUGUAAUGGCCAUAGUAGGUGUUGUGGUUGUCAUAGGGGCUUCAGUUGUAGUUAUUGUAGCAGGUGCUGCAGUGGUUGUCAAAGUAGAUGAUGCAGUUGUAGUGGUCGUAGGAGCUACAGUUGUUGGCGAAGGAGCUACAGAUGUUGUUGUGGUUAUCGUAGGACCUUCAGUUGUCGUUGUAGGUGCUUCUGUUGUUGUGGUCGUACGAUCUAAAGUUGUUGUAGUAGGAGCUGCAGUUGUGGUUGUCAUAGGAACUGCAUUUGUCAUUGUCGUAGUAGGUGCUGCAGUUGUCGUUGUCGUAGUAGGUGCUGCAGUUGUGGUUGUCGUAGUAGCUUUAGUUGUAGUUGUAGAAUGUGUUGCAGUCGUAGUGGUUGUAAGAGCUACAGUUGUUGUAGUAGGAGCUGAAGUGAUUUUUUCAGUAGCUGCUGACGUUGUAGUGGUUGGGGAUAUAUUUGUUGUCAUAGAAGCUACAGUUGUUGUUGUAGGUGCUGCAGUUGUGGUUGUCGUAGCAGCUUCAGUUGUAGUUGUCGUAGCAGGUGCUGCAGUUGUGGUUAUCGUAGGAGCUUCAGUUGUAGUUGUUAAAGUAGGUGCUGCAGUUGUAGUGGUUGUAAGAGCUACAUAUGGUGUAGGAGCGUCAGUUGCAGUUAUUUUAGCAGAUGCUGCAGCGGUUGUCGAAGUAGGUGGUGUAGUUGUGGUCGUAGGAGCUACAGUUGUUGCACUUGGAGCUACAGUUGUGGUUGUCGUAGGAGCUACAGUUGUGGUUGUCGUAGUAGGUGUUGUGGUUGUCGUAGUAGGUGUUGUGGUUGUCGUAGUAGGUGGUGUGGUUGUCGUAGUAGGUGCUGCAGUUGUCGUAGUAGGUGCUGCAGUUGUCGUAAUAGGUGCUGCAAUUGUGGUUGUCGUAGCAGCUUCAGUUAUAAUUGUCGUAGUAGGUGCUGCAGUUGUGGUUAUCAUAGGCGCUUCAGUUGUAGUUGUUGUAGUAUGUGCUGCAGUCGUAGUGGUUGUAAGAGCUACAGUUGUUGUAGUAGGAGCUGAAGUGAUUUUCGCUGUAGCUGCUGACGUUGUAGUGGUUGGGGACAUAUUUGUUGUCGUAAAAGCUACAGUUGUUGUUGUAGGUGCUGCUGUUGUGGUUGUCGUUGUAGGUGCUGCUGUUGUAGUGGUCGUAGUAUCUAAAGUUGUAGUAGGAGUAUCAGUUGCGGUUGUCGUAGGAGCUGCGUUUGUAAUGGUCGUCGUGGGUGCUUCUGUUGUAAUGGUCGUGGGAUCUAAAGUUGUAGUAGGAGCUGCAGAUGUGGUUGUCGUAGGAGCUGCAUUUGUAGUUGUUGUAGUAGGUGCUGCUGUUGUAGUGGUUGUAGGAGCUACAGAUGUUGUAGUUGGAGCUGCAGUUGUGGUUGUCGUAGGAGCUUCAGUUGUCGUUGUUGUAGGAACUGCUGAUGUAGUUGUUGUAAGAGCUGCAGUGGUUGUUGAAGUAGGUGCUGCAGUUGUAGUGGUCAUAGGAGCUACAGAUGAUGUCGUAGGAGCUUCAGUUGUGGUUGUCGUAGUAGGUGUCGUAGUAGGUGUUGUAGUUGUCGUAGUAGGCGCUGAAGUUGUGGUUGUCAUAGCAGCUUCAGUUGUAGUUUUUGUAGCAGGUGCUGCAGUUGUGGUUAUCGUAGGAGCUUCAGUUGUAGUUGUUGAAGUAGGUGCUGCAGUUGUAGUGGUUGUAAGAGCUACAGAUGGUGUUGUAGGAGCAUCAGUUGUAGUUAUUUUAGCAGAUGCAGCGGUUGUCGAAGUAGGUGGUGUAGUUGUGGUCGUAGUUGCUACGGUUGUCGAAGUAGGUGGUGUAGUUGUGGUGGUAGGAGCUACAGUUGUACUUGGAGCUACAGUUGUGGUUGUCGUAGGAGCUACAGUUGUCGUUGUAGGUGCUGCUGUUGUAGUGGUCGUAGUAUCUAAAGUUUUAGUAGGAGUAUCAGUUGCGGUUGUCGU